GCGGAAUUAGUUUAGUGGUAAAACUUCACCUUCCCAAGGUGGCGUCACGGGUUCAAUUCCCGUAUUCCGCU
This 71-nucleotide transfer RNA is filed under the name Patescibacteria group bacterium. Its description in RNAcentral is "tRNA-Gly". It matches the Rfam family "tRNA". Rfam says of the family: Transfer RNA (tRNA) molecules are approximately 80 nucleotides in length. Their secondary structure includes four short double-helical elements and three loops (D, anti-codon, and T loops). Further hydrogen bonds mediate the characteristic L-shaped molecular structure. tRNAs have two regions of fundamental functional importance: the anti-codon, which is responsible for specific mRNA codon recognition, and the 3' end, to which the tRNAs corresponding amino acid is attached (by aminoacyl-tRNA synthetases). tRNAs cope with the degeneracy of the genetic code in two manners: having more than one tRNA (with a specific anti-codon) for a particular amino acid; and 'wobble' base-pairing, i.e. permitting non-standard base-pairing at the 3rd anti-codon position. The record is from RNAcentral.